CCUACGGGCGGCAGCAGUGAGGAAUAUUGGUCAAUGGACGAGAGUCUGAACCGGCCAAGUAGCGUGAAGGAUGACUGCCCUAUGGGUUGUAAACUUCUUUUAUAUGGGAAUAAAAUGUUCCACGUGUGGGAUUUUGUAUGUACCAUAUGAAUAAGGAUCGGCUAACUCCGUGCCAGCAGCCGCGGUAAUACGGAGGAUCCGAGCGUUAUCCGGAUUUAUUGGGUUUAAAGGGAGCGUAGGUGGAUUGUUAAGUCAGUUGUGAAAGUUUGCGGCUCAACCGUAAAAUUGCAGUUGAAACUGACAGUCUUGAGUACAGUAGAGGUGGGCGGAAUUCGUGGUGCAGCGGUGAAAUGCUUAGAUAUCACGAAGAACUCCGAUUGCGAAGGCAGUUCACUGGACUGCAACUGACACUGAGGCUCGAAAGUGUGGGUAUCAAACAGGAUUAGAUACCCGUGUAGUC
This 460-nucleotide ribosomal RNA is filed under the name uncultured bacterium. RNAcentral describes it as "partial 16S ribosomal RNA". It matches the Rfam family "Bacterial small subunit ribosomal RNA", at positions 338 to 795 of the family's 1533-position model. The record is from RNAcentral.